Molecule: long non-coding RNA, 263 nt
Filed under: Arabidopsis lyrata
Lineage: Eukaryota; Viridiplantae; Streptophyta; Magnoliopsida; Brassicales; Brassicaceae
Description: long non-coding RNA (ALYR_LNC001063)
Source: RNAcentral
ACCAUCUCUAACCAAAUUAAAGAAUGCAAGAUUAUAAAACCGCCUUCUACCCUUAUAUGGUGGUGAAAGUGUACUCUGUGCCUCAAUGUCCAAGCUCCUGACGUCGCGUGUCAUUGUCGGCAGCAAAAUAUUCAAGUCUCUUUAUAAUUGGACAUGGUCAUGCCCCAAACAUUAUUGAAGGGCAGAUUUCAAUAUUCUUUUUAAUACAAAGAUAAUAACAGUAGUAUAACUAUAAGUCCUGUCUAUAACAAAACAUCUUAUAU